GCUAACGUUGGCGGCGUGCCUAACACAUGCAAGUCGAACGCGCCGUAGCAAUACGGUGAGUGGCAGACGGGUGAGUAACACGUGGGUAAUCUCCCUCCGAGCGGGGAAUAAGCACUCGAAAGGGUGUCUAAUACCGCAUGACGCCCUGAGGCGCAAGCCGAAGGGUUAAAGCCGUAAGGCGCUUGGAGAUGAGCCUGCGUCCUAUUAGCUAGUUGGUAGGGUAAUGGCCUACCAAGGCUGAGAUGGGUAGCCGGCCUGAGAGGGUGAACGGCCACACUGGAACUGAGACACGGUCCAGACUCCUACGGGAGGCAGCAGUGAGGAAUUUUGCGCAAUGGGGGAAACCCUGACGCAGCGACGCCGCGUGGAGGAUGAAGGCCUUCGGGUCGUAAACUCCUGUCAGAGGUGAAGAAUGCCCGCAAGGGCUUGACGGUAACCUCAGAGGAAGCCCCGGCCAACUACGU
Molecule: ribosomal RNA, 464 nt
Filed under: uncultured bacterium
Lineage: Bacteria
Description: bacterial SSU rRNA
Rfam family: Bacterial small subunit ribosomal RNA
Source: RNAcentral